AACGCACAUUGCGCCUCUCGGUAUUCCGGGAGGCACGCCUGUUCGAGCGCCAUUACACACCCCAAGCUCGGCUUGAUGUUGGACGCUGUCUGUGAAAGGACAGGUCUGGAACGCGUGGGCGCCGCCGCCGGACCACGAGCGUAGCAAGACGCAAGUCAAAUCGCUCUGUGGGCUUACUCGGUGGACGGCCGUCUAGAUGCUGGGGUAACACCUGCGUCGAAAACACCUAACCACAAGUUUGGCCUCGGAUCAGGCGGGGAUACCCGCUGAACUUAA
RNAcentral lists this unclassified non-coding RNA (276 nucleotides) under uncultured Sympoventuriaceae. RNAcentral's name for it is "sequence contains ITS2". Lineage: Eukaryota; Fungi; Ascomycota; Dothideomycetes; Venturiales. The record is from RNAcentral.